This 253-nucleotide ribosomal RNA is filed under the name uncultured bacterium. Its description in RNAcentral is "partial 16S ribosomal RNA". It matches the Rfam family "Bacterial small subunit ribosomal RNA", at positions 524 to 776 of the family's 1533-position model. The record is from RNAcentral.
UACGUAGGGGGCAAGCGUUGUCCGGAAUCAUUGGGCGUAAAGAGCGUGUAGGCGGCCCGGUAAGUCUGUUGUGAAAGUCCAGGGCUCAACCCUGGAAUGCCGAUGGAUACUGCCGGGCUAGAGUUCGGAAGAGGCGAGUGGAAUUCCUGGUGUAGCGGUGGAAUGCGCAGAUAUCAGGAGGAACACCGGUGGCGAAGGCGGGUCUCUGGGCAGUAACUGACGCUGAGGAGCGAAAGCGUGGGGAGCGAACAGG